CCAAUAGCGUAUAUUAAAGUUGUUGCAGUUAAAAAGCUCGUAGUUGAAUUUCGAGACCGGCUUACUGGUCGUGCUAUUGUACGUACUGGUAUAAUCGGUUUCUCCUUUCUGACGAACUUUAAUGCCAUUAAUUUGGUGUUUUAGGGAAUCAGGACUGUUACUUUGAAAAAAUUAGAGUGUUUAAAGCAGGCUCACGCUUGAAUACAUUAGCAUGGAAUAACGGAAUAGGACGUUUGAUUCUAUUUUGUUGGUUUCUAGGAUCGACGUAAUGAUUAAUAGGGAUAGUUGGGGGCAUUAGUAUUCAAUUGUCAGAGGUGAAAUUCUUGGAUUUAUUGAAGACUAACUACUGCGAAAGCAUUUGCCAAGGAUGUUUUCAUUAAUCAAGAACGAAAGUUAGGGGAUCGAAGACGAUCAGAUACCGUCGUAGUCUUAACCAUAAACUAUGCCGACUAGGGAUCGGAUGAUGUUAAUUUUUUAAUGACUCAUUCGGCGCCUUACG
This 499-nucleotide ribosomal RNA is filed under the name uncultured Glomeromycotina. RNAcentral's name for it is "partial small subunit ribosomal RNA". It matches the Rfam family "Eukaryotic small subunit ribosomal RNA", at positions 591 to 1092 of the family's 1831-position model. Lineage: Eukaryota; Fungi; Glomeromycota. The record is from RNAcentral.